RNAcentral lists this ribosomal RNA (491 nucleotides) under uncultured bacterium. Its description in RNAcentral is "partial 16S ribosomal RNA". It matches the Rfam family "Bacterial small subunit ribosomal RNA", at positions 29 to 506 of the family's 1533-position model. The record is from RNAcentral.
AGUGAACGCUGGCGGUAGGCCUAACACAUGCAAGUCGAACGGCAGCACAGUAAGAGCUUGCUCUUACGGGUUGCGAGUGGCGGACGGGUGAGGAAUACAUCGGAAUCUACUUUUUCGUGGGGGAUAACGUAGGGAAACUUACGCUAAUACCGCAUACGACCUACGGGUGAAAGCAGGGGAUCUUCGGACCUUGCGCGAUUGAAUGAGCCGAUGUCGGAUUAGCUCGUUGGCGGGGUAAAGGCCCACCAAGGCGACGAUCCGUAGCUGGUCUGAGUGGAUGAUCAGCCACACUGGAACUGACACACGGUCCAGACUCUGAGGGGAGGCAGAAGUGGGGACUAUUGGCAAAAGGGCGGAAGCCUGAUCCAGCCAUACCGCGUGGGUGAAGAAGGCCUGCGGGUUGUAAAGCCCUUUUGUUGGGAAAGAAAAGCAGCAGGUUAAUACCCCGCUGUUCUGACGGUACCGAAAGAAUAAGCACCGGCUAACUUCGU